UGGGGAAUUUUGGACAAUGGGGGAAACCCUGAUCCAGCCAUCCCGCGUGUGCGAUGAAGGCCUUCGGGUUGUAAAGCACUUUUGGCAGGAAAGAAACGUCAUGGGUUAAUACCCCGUGAAACUGACGGUACCUGCAGAAUAAGCACCGGCUAACUACGUGCCAGCAGCCGCGGUAAUACGUAGGGUGCAAGCGUUAAUCGGAAUUACUGGGCGUAAAGCGUGCGCAGGCGGUUCGGCAAGAAAGAUGUGAAAUCCCAGAGCUCAACUUUGGAACUGCAUUUUUAACUACCGGGCUAGAGUGUGUCAGAGGGAGGUGGAAUUCCGCGUGUAGCAGUGAAAUGCGUAGUUAUGCGGAGGAACACCGAUGGCGAAGGCAGCCUCCUGGGAUAACACUGACGCUCAUGCACGAAAGCGUGGGGAGCAAACAGG
This 429-nucleotide ribosomal RNA is filed under the name Acidobacteriota bacterium. Its description in RNAcentral is "Acidobacteria bacterium partial 16S ribosomal RNA". It matches the Rfam family "Bacterial small subunit ribosomal RNA", at positions 355 to 776 of the family's 1533-position model. Lineage: Bacteria; Pseudomonadati; Acidobacteriota. The record is from RNAcentral.